This 1109-nucleotide ribosomal RNA is filed under the name uncultured fungus. RNAcentral's name for it is "eukaryotic LSU rRNA". The stretch from base 460 to 1109 matches the Rfam family "Eukaryotic large subunit ribosomal RNA", at positions 1 to 667 of the family's 3401-position model. Lineage: Eukaryota; Fungi. The record is from RNAcentral.
CUUGGUCAUUUAGAGGAAGUAAAAGUCGUAACAAGGUCUCCGUAGGUGAACCUGCGGAGGGAUCAUUACUGAAUGGCUUCGGCCUUCAACCUUGUAAACCCGUGGAAGCAAUCCGUGCUUCGGCGCUCCGGCGCCGCAUUUAUGCAGCAUAGCAUUUGUCUGAAUCAAAAACAAGAAUUAAAACUUUCAACAAAGGAUCUCUUGGCUCUCGCAUCGAUGAAGAACGCAGCGAAGCGCGAAAUGUAGUGUGAAUCGCAGAACAUUGUGAAUCAUCGAAUCUUUGAACGCACAUUGCGCCUCCGGUCAUUCGGAGGCAUGCCUGUCUGAGCGUCAUUUAAACCAUAGCCCCGUAAGGGUCCGUCUUGGGCAUCGCCCGUGGGCGUAGCCUCGAAGCCAUCGGUCUAAAGAGCGGAUGAGAUCCAUUAGGACUGACCGUUCUGCGACCUUAAAUCUCUGACUUGACCUCAGAUCAGGUAGGGCUACCGCCUGAACUUAAGCAUAUCAAUAAGGCGAGGAACAGAAACCAACAGGGAUUCCCCUAGUAGUGGCGAAUGAAGCGGGAAAAGCUCAAGUUUGAAAUCCGAGGUCUUCCUCGGAGUUGUAAGCUGAAGAGGCGUCGACCGACUCGGUCCGGGCCCAAUUUCCUUGGAACAGGAGGUCAUGGAGGGUGAGAACCCCGUCCGUGGCUCGGGUGCCGCAGUCCUUGUGUCGUGUCCUCGAAGAGUCGGGUUGUUUGGGAAUGCAGCUCAAAAUGGGUGGUAAAUUUCAUCUAAAGCUAAAUAUUGGCGAGAGACCGAUAGCAAACAAGUAGAGUGAUCGAAAGAUGAAAAGUACUUUGAAAAGAGAGUGAAACAGUACGUGAAAUUGUUGAAAGGGAAGCGUUUGGCAUCAGCCCAUGGCGCCCGUCGAUCAUCCGGGUUUUUGCCCGGUGCACUUGACGGGCGUCGGGCCAGCGUCGACUUUGCCCGCCGGAGAAAGGCCUUGGGGAUGUGGCUCCCUCGGGAGCGUUAUAACCCUCGGCGUCAUGCGGCGUGGUGGGGUCGAGGUCCGCGGUUUAUCCUAGGACGCUGGCGUAAUGGUUCCAAGCGACCCGUCUUGAAACACGGACC